GAUGAACGCUAGCGGCAGGCUUAAUACAUGCAAGUCGAGGGGCAGCACGAAUAGCAAUAUUUGGUGGCGACCGGCGCACGGGUGCGUAACACGUAUACAACCUACCUAUAACAGGGGGAUAGCCUUUUCGAAAGAGAGAUUAAUACCCCGUAAUAAAUUGAGUGGCAUCACUUGAUUUUGAAAGCUACGGCGGUUAUAGAUGGGUAUGCGUCUGAUUAGCUAGUUGGUGAGGUAACGGCUCACCAAGGCGACGAAUCAGUAGGGGAUCUGAGAGGACUAACCCCCACACUGGUACUGAGACACGGACCAGACUCCUACGGGGGGCAGCAGUAAGGAAUAUUGGUCAAUGGAGGCAAACUCUGAACCAGCCAUGCCGCGUGCAGGAUGACGGCCCUAUGGGUUGUAAACUGCUUUUGUACCAGAGAAAACCUACUCACGUGUGAGUAGCUGAUAGUAUGGUAAGAAUAAGCAUCGGCUAAACUUCGUGCCAGCAGCCGCGGUAA
This 503-nucleotide ribosomal RNA is filed under the name uncultured bacterium. RNAcentral's name for it is "bacterial SSU rRNA". It matches the Rfam family "Bacterial small subunit ribosomal RNA", at positions 28 to 523 of the family's 1533-position model. The record is from RNAcentral.